GAUGAACGCUGGCGGCGUGCCUAAUACAUGCAAGUCGAACGAACAGACGCUGAUCUUGCUCCUCUCACGUUAGCCGCAGACGUGUGUAUAACACGUGUAUAACCUACCUAUCAGACUGGGAUAACUUCGGAAAACCGGCGCUAAUACCGUAUGAUAUCUUGCACCACAUUGUUCAAUAGUAAAAUACGGUUUUGCUGUCACUUCUAGAUGGAUCCGCGCCGCAUUAGCUGGUUGGUAAGGUAACGGCUUACCAAGGCAACGAUGCGUAGCCGAACUGUGAGGCGGAUAGGCGACAUGAGAGCUGGGACACGGACAAGAGUACUAAGGGAGGCAGCAGUAGGGAAUCGGAGGCAAUAGGGGAAAGCAUGGCGGAGUAAGGCCGAGUGAGUGAUAAAGGUCUUGGGAGCGUAAAACCGUCUUAUUAGGGAAGAACAGAUGUGUAAGGAACUAUGGACGGAGUGACGGUACCUAAUAAGAAAGCAACGGCUAACUACGUG
Molecule: ribosomal RNA, 497 nt
Filed under: uncultured bacterium
Lineage: Bacteria
Description: partial 16S ribosomal RNA
Rfam family: Bacterial small subunit ribosomal RNA
Source: RNAcentral